UUCCAUGGAAUGCAUCACAUCACAACUAAUCACAUCAAGGAUGAACUUGUCACCACUUAGCCCUCUACAUAUUCCAAUCUUGCCAAGGGCGUAGUGCAGGCCACACCUGGUCUUCCUCUUAUACAUAACAUAUCAUACAUGACCAACUAUGCCGGGGGCGUAGUGCAGGCCACACCCGGUCUUUCUCUUACAUAGUGCCAGGGGCGUAGUGCAGGCCACACCUGGACUUCCAUAUCAUAUCAUCAUGUCAUAGCAUAUGAGGGCUAAUGGAUCAUUCAACAUUCAUCCACAUCAACAACAUAUUAUGCAAUGCAACAUAUUCGUGAAUUCUAAUGCAAACACCCUAAUACAUCUUAUGGCAUUCAUGAUGCGUGAAUCAUGCUAAACUUUUAUUUAAUUUCUCAAUUUAAAACGUUAAGUUUAGUUCCACUCACCUCUGGCUGAAGCUCUAAUGACUUUGAAGCAGCUAUCUCACUGCUGGGGUCCUCGGUUCCUCGGGUCCGAAUCUACACAGGUGGACUCAAAUGAGGGACCAAACAUUCGUGAACAUGACUCUAAAAUACUCCCCAAAAACCCCCUAAAACACCUUGAAACAAUCACAUAAAUCAUACAAAGGAGGGCUGAACAGGGCACUUUCGGCGGCAGGUUCGGCGGCCGAAAGGCCCUCCAGAGCCGAAAGUCAUGCACCUUCGGCGGCACUUUCGGCGGCCGAAGGUUCCCUCCAAAGACGAAACUCAUGCAUGUUCGGCGGCACCUUCGGCAGCCGAAAGUCCCUUCCAGAGCCAAAAGUCAUCUUUCAGGGGCAGGGUUUGGCAGCCGAUUCAUGCUACCACAGGCAGGUUCGGCAGCCGAAAGAACCUUCGGCUGCCGAACCUGGUUUCUCCCUAAAGGGCAGAAACUCAGCUCUAACAUGCACAAACGCCUCCCAACACAUUCAAUCAUGCAUUCUCCUAUUCCACAACAAGCAUACUCAAGCAUACAAGCUCCUAGGGGCUUCAAACUAUCCUAAACCCCAUUUACAACACAUCAAACAACCCACAUUGCUCAUAAACAUACAUAAACUCAUAAACAUAACCAUAACCUAUCAUGCAUUUCUACCCCAUAGAUCUUCAUAAAACUAGUUUAAAACAUGCAAGAAAGGUUGGAUCUAAGCUUACCUCUUGAAGAUCGAGAGGAAAGACGAUCCUAGCUUGGAGGUAGGGAGAAAUCCACUCUUUGGUCUCCAAGCUUCCAAACUUGCUCUUUUUGCUCAAAUCUCUUAAAAUCAAUAUAAAGCUUGUUAAAACAUGAAAGAUCGGAGGAAAAACAUCAAAAACAAACCAAAGGAGAGUAUGAACUCACCGUGGCCGAAAAUGGGGAGAAAACUCGCCCGUUUCGGCCAUGGAGCUCUUAUAUAGGGCUGGCAGACCACCUUUCGGCAGCCGAACGUGCCCCCACAUCUCAUGCAAGUUCGGCGGCCGAACAUGAGGUUCGACGGCCGAACCUUUGAGAUUUUCGGAAGCCUAAUUUGCCUCCCUAAACCAUCCAAUGUUCGGCGGCCGAACUUGAGGUUCGGCGGCCGAGCCUGGAAAUGUCUCCUUGGUCUUUUUCAUUUAAAACUCAAUCUCCUUUUUGUUUAAAACCGUAAAAUACAUUAAAACAUUUAUGAAAACAUGAUUUUACCCUUCUAGAGGUUUCCGACAUCCGAGAUUCCACCGGACGGUAGGCCCCUGAAAGCAUAAGUGAGGGAAGUCCAGGUUCGGCCGCCGAACCUUAUGUUCGGCCGCCGAACAUGGCAUGCAUGCGGAGGCACGUUAGGUCCCCGAAAGUGGCCUGGCCAGCCACCUAUAAAAGGGUCUCCUUGUCCGAAUGGGCGAGCUUUUCUCCCCGUUUUUGGCCAAGGUGAGUUCUUCGCCGUCCCUCAUCGAUUUUGAGCUUCUUCCUUCGAAUCUUCAUGAUUUUCUUAUGGUUUGAAGAUCUUUGAGCAAAAGAGCAAGUUUGGAAGCUUGAAGACCAAAGAGUGGAUUUCUCCCUACCUCCAAGCUAGGAUCGUCUUUCCUCUCGAUUUUCAAGAGGUAAGCUUAGAUCCAACCUUUCUUGCAUAUUUUAAACAAGUUUUAUGAAGAUCUAUGGGGUAGAAAUGCAUGUUAGGUUAUUGUUAUGUUUAUGGGUUUAUGUAUGAACAAUGUGGGUUGUUUGAUGUGUUGUAGUUGGGGUUUAGGAUAGUUUGAAGCCCCUACGAGCUUGUAUGCUUGAGUAUGCAUGUUGUAGAAUAGGAAAAUGCAUGAUUGAGUGAGUUGAGAGGCAUUUGUGCAUGUUGGAGCCGGGUUUCUGCCCUUUGGGAGAAAUCAGGUUCGGCAGCCGAACCUGCGUUUGGAGGCAACUUUCAGCUGCCCAAGCCUGCCCCCGAAAGUAGACUUUCAUCUCUGGAGGGGACUUUCGGCCGCCGAAGGUGCCGCCAAACAUGCAUGAGUUUCGUCUCUGGAGGGAACCUUUGGCCGCCGAAAGUGCCGCCGAAGGUGCAUGACUUUCGGCUCUGGAGGGACUUUCGGCCGCCGAACCUGCCGCCAAAAGUGCCCUGUUCAGCCCUUAUUUGCAUGAAUUCCUUGAUUGUUUUAAGGUGUUUUAGGGGGUUUUUGGGGGAUGUUUUUAGAGUUAUGUUUAUGUAUGUUAGGUCCCUCAUUUGAGUCCACCUGUGUAGGUUCGGACCCGAGAAACCGAGGACCCCAGCAGUGAGUUCAGCUGCUUCGGUGUUUGUCAGAGUCAGCCAGAGGUGAGUGGAACUAAACUUAAUCUUUUAAAUUGAGAAAUUAAAUAUUUUUAUCAUGCUUCAUGUAUCAUGAUUAUGCAAUAGGAUGAUUGCAUUAGACUUCACGAAUAUGUUGCAUCACAUUCUUUGUUGUUGAUGUGGGUGAAUGUUGGAUGACCCAAUUAGUCUCUGAGGAAAGACCAGGACCCCAUUCUACGGCCUGGCACGGAAAUGAAAGACCAGGACCCCAUUCUACGAUCUGGUACGGAUAUGGGACUCGAAGACCAGGUACCCAGAGGAGGGCUUGGGGCAAUGGUAAGUAAUGUAUGAUAUGACAGGAAGACCAGGACCCCAUGCUACGGCCUGGCACGAAAUGAUGCUGGGACUAUUUGGUGACAAGUUCACCCAACCCUUGAUGUGAAUUGUCUGAGUUAUGAUGCAUUUCAUGUGAGCAUGUUUGUUAACAUGUUUUUAUGGUUCUACUCACUGGGCUUGUUAGCUCACCCCUCUCCCUUAACCCCCAGGUUUGCAGGUACAGGAUAGAGCAGGAGGUCGGAUAGAGUAAAGUCUUAGUCAUGUAAUAGCUCGUAGUGGACAUGAUGGAUAUUGUAAUGUAAUGUUGAGUUAUGUAAUGUAAUGAUGAUAUUGAGGUUUAGAAGUGUGCUUGACCAUAGUACGUUGUAAAUCCCUUUUUAGAUACAUGAUCUUAAAUGUUUAUGGAUGAUUAUGUUUAACCAAACUUAAUGCAUGAUUAUGUCACUCCAUUGGAGCAUUGAUGAGGACUCCAAGGUGGGGUUAAUGUUAAUGUCUAUGUUAAUGCAUGCACAGGUUGAGUUUGGUUCAUGAAUGAAAAAGAAAAGUUCAAUUUUUUUAUGUAUGUUGUUGAUCAUGUAUGGGAUUAAACAGGUAUUCAGGAUGUAUGUUUGGCUUGCUACGGGUCCCGGCGGCCUUAAGCCGAUCUGGAUCCUAGCGCCGAUAGCGGUCCGAUUUUCGGGUCGUUACAUAGGGUACUGUGGGUAGAAAGGUGGGUAUGGCAUCUGAGAGUGAUAAGGGUUGAAACUGGGGUAAUCCGAUGUACCUCCCAUCGAAUACCCGGGAUUAUGUGAAAAUGGUGGGUAGUAUGGUGGCUGAACAAAUCCCGAGGCCUGAGUGCCUCCUUGGGACUCUCCCAUUCCCUCUUCCGACAUACUUACUCCGAGACUGCCAUCCCUCCUCUGAUCCAUAUCCAUCUGAUCCCCCACAUCCUCUGACACAUCUCCUUGCACUGUUCCCCUCACUGAUCUGUGCCGGAAAGCGUACUGUUCCAUGUGAAAAGGGUACUGUUCCCCUCACUAUACAUAAUCAUAAUCAUCAACCCACACUGGAGUCCUCAACAAUGCUCCAAUGGGGUAACAUAACAUACAUUGAGUUUGGUUCAACAUAAACCUUUAUUAAAAUCAUGUAAACAAAGGGAUUAACUUACAACUAGGGUCAAGCACAUCUCUAAACCUCAACAUCAUCAUUACGUUACAUAACUGUACUAAACAUAAUAUAUUAACAUUUUUCAUGUCCACACUAGCUAUUACAUGACCAUAACUUCAUUACUCUUGCUGACCUCCUAGUCUACCCUGUACCCGCAAACCUGGGGGUUAAGGGAGAGGGGUGAGCUACUAGAGCCCAGUGAGCAGAAUAAUAAAACAUUUAUAUUAAAGGUUCAUGCUUCCAUGGAAUGCAUCACAUCACAACUAAUCACAUCAAGGAUGAACUUGUCACCACUUAGCCCUCUACAUAUUCCAAUCGUGCCAGGGGCGUAGUGCAGGCCACACCUGGUCUUCCUCUUAUACAUAACAUAUCAUACAUGACCAACUGUGCCGGGGGCGUAGUGCAGGCCACACCCGGUCUUUCUCUUAUAUAGUGCCAGGGGCGUACUGCAGGUCACACCUGGACUUCCAUAUCAUAUCAUCAUGUCAUAGCAUAUGAGGGCUAAUGGAUCAUUCAACAUUCAUCCACAUCAACAACAUAUUAUGCAAUGCAACAUAUUCGUGAAUUCUAAUGCAAACACCCUAAUACAUCUCAUGGCAUUCAUGAUGCGUGAAUCAUGCUAAACUUUUAUUUAAUUUCUCAAUUUAAAACUUUAAGUUUAGUUCCACUCAC
RNAcentral lists this long non-coding RNA (4861 nucleotides) under Manihot esculenta (cassava). Its description in RNAcentral is "long non-coding RNA (MESC_LNC006508)". The record is from RNAcentral. Lineage: Eukaryota; Viridiplantae; Streptophyta; Magnoliopsida; Malpighiales; Euphorbiaceae.